CCUAUAUAUUGUAAUAUCGUUUCGUAUUAUUAUAAUAUAUAUGUAUAUAGCUGACGAUCAUCUCUGAUAAUAAUUAAAAUAUUACUAAAUCGUCACCGGUUAUAUAGUGAGUGUGUGUGUGUGUGUGUGUGUGUCUUAAUUUCCGGGGGCACUGACGGUAGUGAACGAAACUGUAGGU
Cinara cedri is the source of this 178-nucleotide non-coding RNA. The record is from the annotation of a GenBank genome assembly. Lineage: Eukaryota; Metazoa; Arthropoda; Insecta; Hemiptera; Aphididae.